GUGGGGAAUUUUGGACAAUGGGCGAAAGCCUGAUCCAGCAAUGCCGCGUGUGUGAAGAAGGCCUUCGGGUUGUAAAGCACUUUUGUCCGGAAAGAAAUCCUUUGGGUUAAUACCUCGGAGGGAUGACGGUACCGGAAGAAUAAGGACCGGCUAACUACGUGCCAGCAGCCGCGGUAAUACGUAGGGUCCGAGCGUUAAUCGGAAUUACUGGGCGUAAAGCGUGCGCAGGCGGUUUUGUAAGACAGGCGUGAAAUCCCCGGGCUCAACCUGGGAAUUGCGCUUGUGACUGCAAGGCUGGAGUGCGGCAGAGGGGGAUGGAAUUCCGCGUGUAGCAGUGAAAUGCGUAGAUAUGCGGAGGAACACCGAUGGCGAAGGCAAUCCCCUGGGCCUGCACUGACGCUCAUGCACGAAAGCGUGGGGAGCAAACAGGAUUAGAAACCCUUGUAGUCC
Molecule: ribosomal RNA, 450 nt
Filed under: uncultured bacterium
Lineage: Bacteria
Description: partial 16S ribosomal RNA
Rfam family: Bacterial small subunit ribosomal RNA
Source: RNAcentral